This 68-nucleotide transfer RNA is filed under the name Marmota monax (woodchuck). Its description in RNAcentral is "tRNA.Ala". It matches the Rfam family "tRNA". Rfam says of the family: Transfer RNA (tRNA) molecules are approximately 80 nucleotides in length. Their secondary structure includes four short double-helical elements and three loops (D, anti-codon, and T loops). Lineage: Eukaryota; Metazoa; Chordata; Mammalia; Rodentia; Sciuridae. The record is from RNAcentral.
GGUUGUGGCUCAGUGGUAGAGUACUUGCUUAGCAUGCUUGAGGCACCUGGGUUCAAUCCCCAGCACCA